Molecule: ribosomal RNA, 1372 nt
Filed under: uncultured bacterium
Lineage: Bacteria
Description: bacterial SSU rRNA
Rfam family: Bacterial small subunit ribosomal RNA
Source: RNAcentral
GAUGAACGCUGGCGGCGUGCCUAAUACAUGCAAGUCGAGCGAACGGACGAGAAGCUUGCUUCUCUGAUGUUAGCGGCGGACGGGUGAGUAACACGUGGAUAACCUACCUAUAAGACUGGGAUAACUUCGGGAAACCGGAGCUAAUACCGGAUAAUAUUUUGAACCGCAUGGUUCAAAAGUAAAAGACGGUCUUGCUGUCACUUAUAGAUGGAUCCGCGCUGCAUUAGCUAGUUGGUAAGGUAACGGCUUACCAAGGCAACGAUGCAUAGCCGACCUGAGAGGGUGAUCGGCCACACUGGAACUGAGACACGGUCCAGACUCCUACGGGAGGCAGCAGUAGGGAAUCUUCCGCAAUGGGCGAAAGCCUGACGGAGCAACGCCGCGUGAGUGAUGAAGGUCUUCGGAUCGUAAAACUCUGUUAUUAGGGAAGAACAUAUGUGUAAGUAACUGUGCACAUCUUGACGGUACCUAAUCAGAAAGCCACGGCUAACUACGUGCCAGCAGCCGCGGUAAUACGUAGGUGGCAAGCGUUAUCCGGAAUUAUUGGGCGUAAAGCGCGCGUAGGCGGUUUUUUAAGUCUGAUGUGAAAGCCCGCGGCUCAACCGUGGAGGGUCAUUGGAAACUGGAAAACUUGAGUGCAGAAGAGGAAAGUGGAAUUCCAUGUGUAGCGGUGAAAUGCGCAGAGAUAUGGAGGAACACCAGUGGCGAAGGCGACUUUCUGGUCUGUAACUGACGCUGAUGUGCGAAAGCGUGGGGAUCAAACAGGAUUAGAUACCCUGGUAGUCCACGCCGUAAACGAUGAGUGCUAAGUGUUAGGGGGUUUCCGCCCCUUAGUGCUGCAGCUAACGCAUUAAGCACUCCGCCUGGGGAGUACGACCGCAAGGUUGAAACUCAAAGGAAUUGACGGGGACCCGCACAAGCGGUGGAGCAUGUGGUUUAAUUCGAAGCAACGUGAAGAACCUUACCAAAUCUUGACAUCCUUUGACAACUCUAGAGAUAGAGCCUUCCCCUUCGGGGGACAAAGUGACAGGUGGUGCAUGGUUGUCGUCAGCUCGUGUCGUGAGAUGUUGGGUUAAGUCCCGCAACGAGCGCAACCCUUAAGCUUAGUUGCCAUCAUUAAGUUGGGCACUCUAAGUUGACUGCCGGUGACAAACCGGAGGAAGGUGGGGAUGACGUCAAAUCAUCAUGCCCCUUAUGAUUUGGGCUACACACGUGCUACAAUGGACAAUACAAAGGGCAGCGAAACCGCGAGGUCAAGCAAAUCCCAUAAAGUUGUUCUCAGUUCGGAUUGUAGUCUGCAACUCGACUACAUGAAGCUGGAAUCGCUAGUAAUCGUAGAUCAGCACGCUACGGUGAAUACGUUCCCGGGUCU